Molecule: ribosomal RNA, 200 nt
Filed under: uncultured bacterium
Lineage: Bacteria
Description: partial 16S ribosomal RNA
Rfam family: Bacterial small subunit ribosomal RNA
Source: RNAcentral
UAGGCUGAAACUCGCCUACAUGAAGCUGGAGUUACUAGUAAUCGCAGAUCAGAAUGUCGCGGUGAAUACGUUCCCGGGUCUUGUACACACCGCCCGUCACACCAUGGGAGUUGGGAAUGCCCGAAGCCGGUGACCUAACCGAAAGGGAGGAGCCGUCGAAGGCAGGCUUGAUAACUGGGGUGAAGUCGUAACAAGGUAGC